Molecule: non-coding RNA, 119 nt
Filed under: Pyrinomonas methylaliphatogenes
Lineage: Bacteria; Pseudomonadati; Acidobacteriota; Blastocatellia; Blastocatellales; Pyrinomonadaceae
Description: TPP sequence
Rfam family: TPP riboswitch aptamer (THI element)
About the family: Vitamin B(1) in its active form thiamin pyrophosphate (TPP) is an essential coenzyme that is synthesised by coupling of pyrimidine and thiazole moieties in bacteria. The previously detected thiamin-regulatory element, thi box was extended, resulting in a new, highly conserved RNA secondary structure, the THI element, which is widely distributed in eubacteria and also occurs in some archaea. Analysis of operon structures identified a large number of new candidate thiamin-regulated genes, mostly transporters, in various prokaryotic organisms.
Source: Rfam by way of RNAcentral
CGAACCGAGCGGGGGAGCUUGCGUCUGGACGGAGGGCGCAGGCUGAGAGUCGCCCGAAGGCGAGACCCCUUGAACCUGAUACGGGUAAUGCCGUCGAAGGGAGCAAGAUGAAGCCGCUU